This is a long non-coding RNA of Xiphophorus couchianus (Monterrey platyfish), 3150 nucleotides long. RefSeq lists it as uncharacterized. The record is from RefSeq and is a predicted model, not a curated record. NCBI's taxonomy places the organism in Eukaryota, Metazoa, Chordata, Actinopteri, Cyprinodontiformes, Poeciliidae. The transcript is spliced from 3 exons.
GUCAACCUGGGAAACCGUGAUCAAGGCUUACUGCGGUUGGAUGUCUUCAGAGGUAGCUGUGCCGCUAUGCACAUAACGUCAAACGGCAACAGAAGUCAUUAUGCUUGGGUUUAAGCUUCACCAAGUUGUCUUUAUCACAUGUUGCUGUGAUUGGGUGAUUCCCCAAUUGAGUUAACAAGCACCGGAACAGGGAUACCUAAAAAAUUGCCUGGCUGUGCUGCAUUCUGAUGGAUUUGGUUUAUAAGAGACUGACAGCUGGCAACUUCACUCUUUCUUACCUAUGACUCAAUUACCUUUGACAUGGCAGUCAAAACAUCUAUUACAUACACACCAACAAUCUUCCACACAACCCCUCUCUGUGACUUCACUCCAGAUCCCAUGGCUCAAUUACUUGAAAUAUAGCACCAAACAGCUGGAGGGCUUUAGCUCAAUAACACAGCGUCAGAGCAGCUAUAUGACGAGGAGUCAUUGUGAUGACCUGGCAGGGAAUAUGCUACCACCAGGCUGACGGAAAUACUUAUCAUUCACCUCACAGCGUGCUACCAGUGGCCACCUAGGGACAAAGUAGACAUUCCAAAAGGCAACCAUGUUUCCCUUUGAUUAUGUUAAAGGUUGAACCUGAACUACUGCUGGAGCGCUGAUGUUUCAGUUUGUCACAAGUGUUUUAUGACAGAUGCAGUGACGUUAUUGCAGUCGUUGCCUUUUUUUCUUCUGGUUAUGGUUAUCUGAAAUAAGUCAAUAUCAUGACCAGUAUAAUACAAUGUCAUAUCAAAGGUGAUGAAUGUUAGUAUCUAUGGCUACAAUUCAGAUAUCUUGUCACCUUGGAGACAAAGCAUUGAUCUGAGUCAGAAAGGACGGGUAUGCUGCAGCAACUUACUUUAAACAAAAGACUUAAGAGACUGCAACUGUUGCCAUUACGUUGUUUUCCUCUUUAACUCUGAAGACAUUUCCUCUUAACUCAUUGAAAAUUUAUUGUAAUAUAGUUCAAGACAACCUUAAUUUGGAGUUUACAUUUUUUAGCAAUGUAUAUUAAAGGUAGAGUGAAGGGAAGCUACCCUUACUUGGCACUAUGCCCAUGCAAAGCAUGACCUACACAGUGUGACUGCCAGGAAUAAAUUAACUGGAAAUCGCUGGAUUUCUAAAGCACCAAUUAGGCAGCAGUGGUACGGCAGAGGAAGUAAAUGUUUAUUAAAGGCUACAUUUCCCCCAUUUUCCUUGCAGUAAACCUUUUGUUGCAUCUUUGAUGAUAUCUAUCACUUUAAUUGGCCAUCCUAUAGUUUUGUGUCUUCAUAUGUUUAUUCUGGCUGAAAUAUGGCAAUCAUCUUGUGAUAUCCAGGGUAAUUACAUGGGAACUGGGCAUACUAAUUGUAUCGGACUGUAACAUGAGGCUUUUGUGUAAAGAUGGGAGACUUAUAAUAGUCACUUGGUUGCUUUGCAUUCUGAAAAUUCAAGUAUUCUGAGAAAAUUAUGCCAUUUUAAUUAAAGUAAUCACAUCAUAAGCAACUUUAGAGUGUGAAUAAUGUUAAACUGAUCAUUAUCCAUCUUUUGGUAUUUUAUGUGCAUUUUUUAUCCUUUCCUGCCAGUAAUCAAAAACAGCUGCCCAUUUAAUGGCUGUAAAUUUGACAGAAAGCUUUUGUCAGGAGACAUUUUAUUUAACUUUGCAUGAAGAUUGAAAGCAAGGUCAGCUGCUAGUUUGGCCCCAUCUGAAGUUCAAAACUAUACUAAAUCCUCUGAGGUUGCUAAUAAUCCUUUUGAACUCAAAAACUCAAAUCUCUAAAUUGUGGCAUCUCUUCUAAUUCCCUUGCUGUAAAUAUUUCAUGCAAUUAGUUUGCUAUAUUUGUUGUUGCACACAUAUAUAUUUUUUUAUGUUUAUGCUUUAGGAUCAAGCAAACAAUCAAAGACCAUAAAAACAGCCUAUCUUACCAGCCCUUUCAGCUCCUUUCAGCUAUUAAUAUUCCCAUUGCUGAAAUGAGUAUAGCUCAGAACAUAAACCACAAACCAGGAAGGGUUAUGCAACUUUUAUUAACAAAACCCAUAAUAUACAAGAUGGACAGGAAGUGCAUCAAAAUCAGAUUCAUAAUAAGAAGCACACAUACUCGCUAUUUUAAUACUUGGUAAUACACAAGGGAGCUUCAUUUCCUCAUGCUUAGAUGCAGGUAAAUUUCCUUUAGAUACAUAAUCAUACAUCGGAAGUGUAAAGUAUUAAUAAAAUACACAAGUUACAUGUUUUAAAGUAAAUCUCCUGCAUAGGUAAGGUUAGGUAGGACACAUACCUCUAGUAAUUAGUAAUCCAACUUUUAUGUUUUAAUGGAUAUAGAAAUUAGUAUUGGUUGGAACUGAAAAGUGCAAUUACCUCACAUUUGCACUUAAGUGCAGUAAUUUAGAUAAUGUGUAUUUUCCACCACUCACUAACCACCACCUAUUAUUAGACUCAAUCUUAACCUCAGUUACCGUACCAUGUUUCGUUUGUCAGCUUGCAUGGAACUCUUCAUCUUGCAAGAAAACAACAAACGUCCACCUUUACAACGCACUUUCUCCAUUUAAUAGAGGCACAGCCAUAUUCUAACACUAUAACAGAAGUUCAGUAUCAACAGUUGUCAUUGGAAUAUGGUUGAAACCGCAUGCAAAGACUUUCAGAGUACUGAAGCCGUAUUCUUUGAAAAAUGCUGUCACAUUCAAGUAAAAGUCAAAGGUAAAAAACUCUGGUUGAUAUUAGGGCACAACUGUUCACAAAGGAAAUCCCUAUCCACUCAAAGAGUAAAUUCACUCAAUUUAGAGGAAGCUUAGUCACUUUGUGAAGGUCAGUUAGACAAUGUGUGGUUAUUUGAGCUGUUUCGGAAGAUCUCUUCUAACACUGCUGAUUCCAGAGGACAUGUAGAGUCUGGUCUCCAGUAGAAACGGAAGGGUUGUGGUCCGGAUUAAAGGUUACUUUUUCAUCCGGUGAGGACUGAAAGGUCAUCUUUCAUUUCUCAUUUAAUAAGUAUAUGUGUUUGUGCUGAGGAAUCUGGGUGUGUUGGUGUACAAUCCAUAUACUGAAAUUGAAGAUGGGCUGAAAAUCCAAAACUGAGUACUCUUGUACAAUUAAAGAUACAUCUGUAAAUUAAAUUUGGAUGUAUUUCCAAUGUGAACCAGAAAACAGUGCACACUGCA